Molecule: ribosomal RNA, 687 nt
Filed under: uncultured bacterium
Lineage: Bacteria
Description: bacterial SSU rRNA
Rfam family: Bacterial small subunit ribosomal RNA
Source: RNAcentral
GGACAACAUCCCGAAAGGGGUGCUAAUACCGAAUGUGACAGCAAUCUCGCAUGAGGAUGCUGUGAAAGAUGGCCUCUGUUUAUAAGCUAUCGCUAGAGGAUGGGCCUGCGUCUGAUUAGCUAGUUGGUGGGGUAACGGCCUACCAAGGCGAUGAUCAGUAGCCGGUCUGAGAGGAUGAACGGCCACAUUGGGACUGAGACACGGCCCAGACUCCUACGGGAGGCAGCAGUGGGGAAUCUUCCGCAAUGGGCGAAAGCCUGACGGAGCAAUGCCGCGUGAGUGAUGAAGGAAUUCGUUCCGUAAAGCUCUUUUGUUUAUGACGAAUGUGCAGAUUGUGAACAAUGAUCUGUAAUGACGGUAGUAAACGAAUAAGCCACGGCUAACUACGUGCCAGCAGCCGCGGUAAUACGUAGGUGGCGAGCGUUGUCCGGAAUUAUUGGGCGUAAAGAGCAUGUAGGCAGUUUUUUAAGUCUGGAGUGAAAAUGCGGGGCUCAACCCCGUAUGGCUCUGGAUACUGGAAGACUUGAGUGCAGGAGAGGAAAGGGGAAUUCCCAGUGUAGCGGUGAAAUGCGUAGAUAUUGGGAGGAACACCAGUGGCGAAGGCGCCUUUCUGGACUGUGUCUGACGCUGAGAUGCGAAAGCCAGGGUAGCGAACGGGAUUAGAUACCCCGGUAGUCCUGGCCGUAA